RNAcentral lists this transfer RNA (72 nucleotides) under Bos taurus (domestic cattle). It matches the Rfam family "tRNA". From Rfam's summary of the family: Transfer RNA (tRNA) molecules are approximately 80 nucleotides in length. Their secondary structure includes four short double-helical elements and three loops (D, anti-codon, and T loops). Further hydrogen bonds mediate the characteristic L-shaped molecular structure. tRNAs have two regions of fundamental functional importance: the anti-codon, which is responsible for specific mRNA codon recognition, and the 3' end, to which the tRNAs corresponding amino acid is attached (by aminoacyl-tRNA synthetases). tRNAs cope with the degeneracy of the genetic code in two manners: having more than one tRNA (with a specific anti-codon) for a particular amino acid; and 'wobble' base-pairing, i.e. permitting non-standard base-pairing at the 3rd anti-codon position. RNAcentral also lists the same sequence under 2 other names. The record is from Rfam by way of RNAcentral. Lineage: Eukaryota; Metazoa; Chordata; Mammalia; Artiodactyla; Bovidae.
UCCCUGGUGGCUCAGAGGUUAAAGUGUUUGCUUGGAAUGUGGGAGACCCAGGUUCAAUCCCUGGGUUGGGAA